This 490-nucleotide ribosomal RNA is filed under the name uncultured bacterium. RNAcentral's name for it is "partial 16S ribosomal RNA". It matches the Rfam family "Bacterial small subunit ribosomal RNA", at positions 30 to 507 of the family's 1533-position model. The record is from RNAcentral.
AUUGAACGCUGGCGGCAGGCCUAACACAUGCAAGUCGAACGGUAACAGGAAACAGCUUGCUGUUUCGCUGACGAGUGGCGGACGGGUGAGUAAUGUCUGGGAAACUGCCUGAUGGAGGGGGAUAACUACUGGAAACGGUAGCUAAUACCGCAUAACGUCGCAAGACCAAAGAGGGGGACCUUCGGGCCUCUUGCCAUCGGAUGUGCCCAGAUGGGAUUAGCUAGUAGGUGGGGUAACGGCUCACCUAGGCGACGAUCCCUAGCUGGUCUGAGAGGAUGACCAGCCACACUGGAACUGAGACACGGUCCAGACUCCUACGGGAGGCAGCAGUGGGGAAUAUUGCACAAUGGGCGCAAGCCUGAUGCAGCCAUGCCGCGUGUAUGAAGAAGGCCUUCGGGUUGUAAAGUACUUUCAGCGGGGAGGAGGGGAGUAAAGUUAAUACCUUUGCUCAUUGACGUUACCCGCAGAAGAAGCACCGGCUAACUCCGUG